RNAcentral lists this unclassified non-coding RNA (275 nucleotides) under Hevea brasiliensis (rubber tree). The record is from RNAcentral. Lineage: Eukaryota; Viridiplantae; Streptophyta; Magnoliopsida; Malpighiales; Euphorbiaceae.
AUAAACAGAGGGAUCACAUUGUGUUGUACCUGUAGCUUAGUGUAUUCUACGUUGAUUACGAAGGAAGAAGCUAUGGCUGCCUGUUCGAGGCGAGGCAAUUCUCUCGUCGUGCUAGCGAUCGUUUUAUUAGGCUGUCUUUCUGCACUUUCCAAUGCAAAGGAGGAGGCUACAAAACUUGGUACCGUUAUAGGAAUUGAUCUUGGGACAACCUAUUCCUGUGUUGGGGUGUACAAGAAUGGUCAUGUGGAGAUUAUAGCUAAUGACCAAGGAAACAG